Molecule: ribosomal RNA, 253 nt
Filed under: uncultured bacterium
Lineage: Bacteria
Description: partial 16S ribosomal RNA
Rfam family: Bacterial small subunit ribosomal RNA
Source: RNAcentral
UACGUAGGGGGCAAGCGUUGUCCGGAUUUAUUGGGCGUAAAGAGCGUGUAGGCGGCCAUUCAGGUCAGCUGUGAAAACUCGAGGCUCAACCUCGAGACGUCGGUUGAAACCGUUUGGCUAGAGUCCGGAAGAGGAGAGUGGAAUUCCCGGUGUAGCGGUGAAAUGCGCAGAUAUCGGGAGGAACACCAGUGGCGAAGGCGAUCACCUGGGGUUGUUCUGACGCUGAGGAGCGAAAGCUAGGGGAGCAAACGGG